UAGCCUCGUACCUUUUGCAUCAUGACUUAGCCAGUAACCCCAAGCAAAGAGCACUUUAGUUUGACCCCCCGAAACUGAGCGAGCUACUCCAAGACAGCCUAUUAAUAGGGCAAACCCGUCUCUGUGGCAAAAGAGUGGGAAGAGCUUUGAGUAGAGGUGACAGACCUACCGAGCCCAGUUAUAGCUGGUUGCCUGAGAACUGAAUAGAAGUUCAGCCUCCCGGCUUCUUUCCAAACCGAGAGAGUUAGUCAAAGGGGGUACAGCCCCUUUGAUACAAGACACAACUUUUUCAGGAGGGUAAAGAUCAUAUUUAAAUUAAAGGUAGUAUGUUUUAGUGGGCCUAAAAGCAGCCAUCCCUAUAGAAAGCGUUAAAGCUCAAACAUAACAUUCUGAUAAUUUAAUCUUAACCCCCUUCAAUCUACCAGGCCAUCCCAUGCAAACAUGGGAGUGAUAAUGCUAACAUGAGUAAUAAGAGAGACCUCUCUCCUCGCACACGUGUAAGUCAGAACGGACCUCCCACCCAACCUUAACUGGCCCCCAACGAACGAGGAAGGGAAUGACAACCAGAAAGAAACCCUCCGUCCCCCCCACACGGGUGUCCACCCAAGGAAAGAAUAAAAGAAAGAGAAGUAACUCGGCAAACAAGCCUCGCCUGUUUAACAAAAACAUCGCCUCUUGCAUGAAUAAGAGGUCCCGCCUGCCCUGUGACUGAAAGUUUAACGGCCGCGGUAUUUUGACCGUGCGAAGGUAGCGCAAUCACUUGUCUUUUAAAUGGAGACCUGUAUGAAUGGCAUAACGAGGGCUUAGCUGUCUCCUCUUUCAAGUCAAUGAAAUUGAUCUCCCCGUGCAGAAGCGGGGAUACGCACAUAAGACGAGAAGACCCUAUGGAGCUUUAGACACCAAGGCAGACCAUGUUAAAAACCCUAAAACAAAAGACCAAACCAAAUGAACCCUGCCCUAAUGUCUUUGGUUGGGGCGACCGCGGGGAAACACAAAACCCCCACGUGGAAUGAGAACACUCUCACAACCAAGAGCUCCCGCUCUAAUAAACAGAAUUUCUGACCAUCUAGAUCCGGCAAGACCGAUCAACGGACCGAGUUACCCUAGGGAUAACAGCGCAAUCCCCUUUUAGAGGCCAUAUCGACAAGGGGGUUUACGACCUCGAUGUUGGAUCAGGACAUCCUAAUGGUGCAG
This 1194-nucleotide ribosomal RNA is filed under the name Caesio caerulaurea (blue and gold fusilier). Its description in RNAcentral is "partial 16S ribosomal RNA". It matches the Rfam family "Bacterial large subunit ribosomal RNA", at positions 594 to 2558 of the family's 2925-position model. The record is from RNAcentral. Lineage: Eukaryota; Metazoa; Chordata; Actinopteri; Lutjaniformes; Lutjanidae.